This 443-nucleotide ribosomal RNA is filed under the name uncultured bacterium. RNAcentral describes it as "partial 16S ribosomal RNA". It matches the Rfam family "Bacterial small subunit ribosomal RNA", at positions 338 to 795 of the family's 1533-position model. The record is from RNAcentral.
CCUACGGGUGGCAGCAGUGGGGAAUAUUGGGCAAUGGACGCAAGCCUGACCCAGCAACGCCGCGUGAAGGAAGAAGGCUUUCGGGUUGUAAACUUCUUUUCUUGGGGACGAAGAAAGUGACGGUCCCCACGGAAUAAGCCACGGCUAACUACGUGCCAGCAGCCGCGGUAAUACGUAGGAGGCAAGCGUUAUCCGGAUGUAUUGGGUGUAAAGGGCGUGUAGGCGGGAUUGCAAGUCAGAUGUGAAAACCACGGGCUCAACCUGUGGCCUGCAGUUGAAACUGUAGGUCUUGAGUGCGGGAGAGGAAACCGGAAUUCAGUGUGUAGCGGUGAAAUGCGUAGAUAUACGGAGGAACACCAGUGGCGAAGGCGGAUUGCUGGACAGUAACUGACGCUGAGGCGCGAAAGCGUGGGGAGCAAACAGGAUUAGAUACCCUAGUAGUC